GGCAGCGGGAGACGCCUUGUUCCGGGCUGUCAUUGGCACGACGCCAAGGCAGUGGGCACAGAUUUCUGGGUCACCCAGCAGAUGGCAGGUCCAGUCAGAGUUUGGUGCUUUCUUUAGAUGUGUUACAUGAAUUUAAAAGGAGUCUAUUCUCUGGAGUUUGGCAGCACAAGUGUUGUGGGGCCUUCCUGGAGCUGCAUUUGUGUGAGAUGAAGACUGAUAUCCAGCAGCUGAAGGCCACCAUAUCUGGUUCUCUUCCUUAUCAAGACACCAUCUUCCCAUCAUCUGGAUCUGCAGCUCCCAAGGAAGCAAUAAUCCUGGAAAACUACUGAGGUGGAGUUGGAGAAGAUCCUCAAGAUAUUUAAAAAAGUGAAAAACCCAAUCAGAGGGAAGUUUUAAGACCCACCUGGGAAGACUGCACGGCUACAUGAUCACUAUGAUGGCUCAGAGAAAAUAAAGAAAAAUGCAGAUCUGGAUCAAGGAAAAGUGAGCAGGCUGGAUGUUUAAAAUGACAUGAAAAAAGGCUUUUUUUUUUUUUUUUUUUGAAAUUGAAGGCUUCUCUUCCAUUCUUACUCCACAUAGUCCUAGAUGUCCUAGCUGGAGCAAUU
Molecule: long non-coding RNA, 605 nt
Organism: Canis lupus familiaris (dog)
Lineage: Eukaryota; Metazoa; Chordata; Mammalia; Carnivora; Canidae
Exons: 4
Source: RefSeq, a predicted model, not a curated record